AUUGAACGCUGGCGGCAGGCCUAACACAUGCAAGUCGAGCGAGCGGCGGACGGGUGAGUAAUGUCUGGGAAACUGCCUGUUGUAGGGGGAUAACUACUGUAAACGGUAGCUAAUACCGCACACCAUCAGAUGUGCCCAGAUGGGAGUAGCUAGUAGGUGGGGUAACGGCUCACCUAGGCGACGAUCCCUAGCUGGUCUGAGAGGAUGACCAGCCACACUGGAACUGAGACACGGUCCAGACUCCUACGGGAGGCAGCAGUGGGGAAUAUUGCACAAUGGGCGCAAGCCUGAUGCAGCCAUGCCGCGUGUGUGAAGAAGGCCUUCGGGUUGUAAAGCACUUUCAGCGGGGAGGCGUUACCCGCAGAAGAAGCACCGGCUAACUCCGUGCCAGCAGCCGCGGUAAUUC
This 406-nucleotide ribosomal RNA is filed under the name uncultured bacterium. Its description in RNAcentral is "partial 16S ribosomal RNA". It matches the Rfam family "Bacterial small subunit ribosomal RNA", at positions 30 to 526 of the family's 1533-position model. The record is from RNAcentral.